GAAGGAGGAGGCAAGCGUUAUCCGGGAUUAUUGGGCGUAAAGGGUACGUAGGCGGCUGGUCAAGUCUGGGGUCAAAGGCCACGGCUCAACUGUGGGCAGGCCCUGGAAACUGACCGGCUAGAGUGAGGUAGGGGUUGCGGGAAUUCCCGGUGUAGCGGUGAAAUGCGUAGAGAUCGGGAAGAACACCUGAGGCGGAAGCGCGCAACUGGGCCUCUACUGACGCUGAGGUACGAAAGCUAGGGGAGCGAAUGGG
RNAcentral lists this ribosomal RNA (253 nucleotides) under uncultured bacterium. RNAcentral's name for it is "partial 16S ribosomal RNA". It matches the Rfam family "Bacterial small subunit ribosomal RNA", at positions 524 to 776 of the family's 1533-position model. The record is from RNAcentral.